Molecule: ribosomal RNA, 751 nt
Filed under: uncultured bacterium
Lineage: Bacteria
Description: bacterial SSU rRNA
Rfam family: Bacterial small subunit ribosomal RNA
Source: RNAcentral
ACCAAAGCCGGGGCAACCUGGCGCUUUUGGAGGAGCUCGUGGCCUAUCAGCUAGUUGGUGAGGUAACGGCUCACCAAGGCAACGACGGGUAGCUGGUCUGAGAGGACGACCAGCCACACUGGAACUGAGAUACGGUCCAGACACUUACGGGUGGCAGCAGUCGAGAAUUUUUCUCAAUGGGGGAAACCCUGAAGGAGCGACGCCGCGCGGAGGAUGAAUGCUUUCGGGUUGUAAACUCCUGUCAUUUGGGAACAAGACCUUACGUUAACUGCGUGGAGGAUUGAUAGUACCAGAAGAGGAAGAGACGGCUAACUCUGUGCCAGCAGCCGCGGUAAUACAGAGGUCUCGAGCGUUGUUCGGAUUCAUUGGGCGUAAAGGGCGCGUAGGCGGCGGGGUAAGUCUGGUGUGAAAUCUAGGAGCUCAACUCCUAAACUGCACUGGAUACUGCUCUGCUAGAGGACUGGAGAGGAGACUGGAAUUCACGGUGUAGCAAUGAAAUGCGUAGAUAUCGUGAGGAAGACCAGUGGCGAAAGCGGGUCUCUGGACAGUUCCUGACGCUGAGGCGCGAAGGCCAUGGGAGCAAACGGGAUUAGAUACCCCGGUAGUCCUGGCAGUAAACAGUGCACGUUUGGUGUGCGCGGAUUCGACCCCGUGCGUGCCGGAGCUAACGCGUUAAACGUGCCGCCUGAGAAGUACGGUCGCAAGAUUCAAACUCAGAGAAAUUGACGGGGGCCCGCACAAGCGGUGGAGU